UACGUAGGGACCGAGCGUUGUCCGGAAUCAUUGGGCGUAAAGAGCGUGUAGGCGGCUCGGUAAGUCCGCUGUAAAAGUCAAAGGCUCAACCUUUGAAUGUCAGUGGAUACUGCCGGGCUAGAGUCCGGAAGAGGCGAGUGGAACUCCUGGUGUAGCGGUGGAAUGCGCAGAUAUCAGGAAGAACACCAACGGCGAAGGCAGCUCGCUGGGACGGUACUGACGCUGAGACGCGAAAGCGUGGGGAGCGAACAGG
RNAcentral lists this ribosomal RNA (253 nucleotides) under uncultured bacterium. RNAcentral describes it as "partial 16S ribosomal RNA". It matches the Rfam family "Bacterial small subunit ribosomal RNA", at positions 524 to 776 of the family's 1533-position model. The record is from RNAcentral.